CUGCGCCCCGAUCUCCUUAAUUUCUCAAGCAUCUUCAGAAAAAUGCCUGGCUAUCAUUUCAAGAUAUGAACACUGUGGGUCCUACGAAGGUGGAGUUCACGAUUUGCACUGUUUUGGCAGACUUAAAUUAACUAAUAAGGUAAAAGAAUGGGAAUGUGUGUGGCAACCUGGAAACCAUACAAUGAAAAAGUCAUACACACUGAUCAUCAC
Long non-coding RNA from Lampris incognitus (smalleye Pacific opah), 210 nucleotides. RefSeq lists it as uncharacterized. The record is from RefSeq and is a predicted model, not a curated record. NCBI's taxonomy places the organism in Eukaryota, Metazoa, Chordata, Actinopteri, Lampriformes, Lampridae. The transcript has 3 exons.